Cygnus olor (mute swan) is the source of this 1323-nucleotide RNA transcript. It is a transcript of the gene named coiled-coil-helix-coiled-coil-helix domain containing 5, with no coding region annotated. Lineage: Eukaryota; Metazoa; Chordata; Aves; Anseriformes; Anatidae. The record is from RefSeq and is a predicted model, not a curated record. The transcript has 6 exons.
UGCGCAUGCGCGUUGGCAGCCUGGCGGCCGCUCAAGGAGAGAGCACAUGCGCAGAAGGGAGGGAGAGGCGGCGGCGCAUGCGCAGUGAGGAGGGGGAGGUGGCGGCGCGUGCGCAGUGAGGAGGAAGCGGCGGGAUGGAGGCGGCGCUGGAGGUGACGGCGCGGUACUGCCGCAGCGAGCUGGAGCAGUACGGGCGCUGCGUGGCCGCCAGCCCGGCUUCGUGGCAGCGGGACUGCCACAGCCUCCGCCUCGGCAUCUCCCGGUGCGCCUCCGCGCACCCCAUCGUCAGGAGGAUCCGCAGUGACUGCGCCGAGCCCUUCGCCGCCUUCGAGAGGUGCCUGCAGGAGAACGAGGCCGCCGUGGGGAAGUGCAGCGAGCACGUCGCCGCCUUCCUGCGCUGCGCCGAGCAGGUGAAGGUCGCCGCGUGAGCGUCCUCUCAGAAAAACAUAAAGCACUGGAACAGGUUGCCCAGAGAGGCUGUGGAUGCCCCAUCCCUGGAGGUGCUCAAGGCCCUGAGCAACCUGAUCUAGUGUUGGAAUUGGCGUUGGUGUUGGAAUCAGGUGAUCUACGAGGGCCCUUCCAACCCCAGCUACUCUGAAAACAUAGCGGGAAACUAUAUCAAGGUUAAACGCAUUGGCAUGGCUCAUCAGGGGAAGUAUUUCCUCUGUGACCACAAGCGCAGCAGCGUGUUUUUCCGAAUGGUCGUUCUGCGUUGGACUAAGGCGCUGCCCUGCGGUAAAAGACCCUGGGAUGAAAGCAGUCUUGUUUUGACGUAAAGUCUUGGUUUAAUUGGUACAACUCUAUUAAUCGACUGGCUCAUCAGGUUUGCGUGGUAGUAUAUGCAGAAUGGGUUUGUUGGGUGGGUCAGGCUACAGCACUGGGAUAAAGAUCCUGUAAACUUCUGUGGAGCUACAUUAAAGCAAAUAAUGUGCCACUAAGCAUAUAGGAACAGACUGACUGUGACAUCUGCCCGCCACCUGGAAAGGGGAUCCUUGGAAUUAAAGCUCAUCCUCAGGAGUGAAUGAAAACUCUUUCCGUACUCUGGAGUCUCGUUCCAAUGCACAGUUGGGUUGUUUCUCCCCUCUGAAAAACUGAGUGCAGCCCUGUGAUGUGGUUCUCUUGGUGCUUGUCUUCAACAACCAGCUGGACUCUGACACGGCUGUCGGAGCAUUCCUGAUCUGCUGGUACUUGUGUGCUGCUAAUGCUGGGUUUUCGCUGCUGGUGCUCCAUGCCCUUAGCAACUUUUCUGUAUUCAACAAUUUCUUUGAUAAUUAAGCACAGUAUUUUCCUUCGUCCCAAUAAAAAUCACUCCUGAAGAUCAAA